Non-coding RNA from Acanthosepion pharaonis, 108 nucleotides. Lineage: Eukaryota; Metazoa; Mollusca; Cephalopoda; Sepiida; Sepiidae. The record is from the annotation of a GenBank genome assembly.
UUACGGCCAUAUCACGUUGAAACACCGGUUCCCGUUCAAUCAUCGAAGUUAAGCAACAUCAAGCAGGGUUAGUUCCUAGUGACUGCUUGGGAAUACCAGGUGUUGUAA